Leopardus geoffroyi (Geoffroy's cat) is the source of this 4722-nucleotide long non-coding RNA. RefSeq lists it as uncharacterized. The transcript is spliced from 2 exons. NCBI's taxonomy places the organism in Eukaryota, Metazoa, Chordata, Mammalia, Carnivora, Felidae. The record is from RefSeq and is a predicted model, not a curated record.
UCCCCUCCUCUUUCGGCCUCUCCCCGCCGCGCUCCGCCCCCAUCCUAUCCCCUCCUCGUCCUCUUCCACUCCUCCACUCCUCCCCGCCCUACUUUACCCGGGCCCCUACCUCCCCUCCCCUCCUAUUCCCGCUCCGCCCCGCCCCGGCCCCCGCAUGGUCCCCACUGCAAACUAGAGGGGAGGGCGCGGCUCUCGGCUUCUGGAGUUGUGCGCCCCAGGGUUGUACGCCCGGGGGUCGCAGCAGACCGAAGUGGUACCGACCCAGGGUCGCAUUGUUCAGUGAGCGCUCCAUCCCGGGUUGCAGUCGCGGAUUGCCCCUUCCCAGGGCUGCAGUUUCGGGGGCUUGCAGCCCCACCGGGGGUCGUCCCGGGCGCGGAGGGUGAGAGCGCGGCCUCGGAGAAGCCCCUAGAGCCGGCGCACUCCCGCCGCUGGGCGCGAGCCGAACCCCACUUGCCAGGGCUCCGAGCCCCCCACUCCCGGGACUCACGGCCUGGACAGCAGGCGCUGCGCAGACAGCGGGGACCCCCAGAGGGACAGUCUGCGCGGGAGGGGCGGGCCAAGCCCGGUGAGUUAUGCGGGGUGCUGGGCACAGGCCCCACUGCCGUGGGCACGAAAAUUGCAGUCGUGGGGCCCCGAGGACGGCUGGCCCCGAGGAAGCGCUGAGAUUGUUCUCGGAGACAAAGGCAGACCCGGGCCGUGGGAGGGGCUGGAGUGAGGUCGGGAAGGUUGAAGGUCACCAUCAAUCAACACCUGGGGCUGACCUGGGGCCUCUCUGGCCUGGUGACUUUCCCGCAGAAACCUUUAGGAGUCGGGGCUGAUGGGCCCAAACCUUGGAACAGCAAGAACACACACACACACACACACACACACACACACACACACGCACACACACACCCAGGCCUGCAGUGGGGAGGAGCUCGGGUGCAGCUCGCUCUAGCCACAGCUGGGCUGCCCUGUGCAUCCCUGCAAGGGCACUGGCAAGGUCACCGGAGGCAGUGGCUCCAGGCUCCAGCCUCCCCUCUUUCUCCUUAUUCCCACCUGCCCCCACACCUGUCCCUUCCCAACUUGUUUUUCUCCAGACGGGCGUCAUCCUCUAGUACUCCGGGGGGGGUUGUUCUGUGUGCUAUGACCCCCCUAUCCACCCCGCCCCGUUAGAGUGUAAGCCCCUCCACGGCUAGGAUUCUUGUCUUUUGUUUACUGCUGGAAUCCAACCACCCAGAAUAGUGUUCAUGAGUAAGUUCACAUGUCAGAGCCACACUCAAAAGUAGCAACUCAGGCAAAGCCUUUUCCAACUCCAGUGAGUCACCCUCCUCUGGACACUGAACAUCGGCUCAAACCUCCAUUAUUCGUUUGCAGCGUGAAUUCUGUGUCUCCCCCCAUUCAACCACGAGAGCCUAACAGUUGCACACCAGCUGUCUUUAACGAUGCCCGCCAUCCAGAAUGUUCGCCGUUACAUAGCAUUCUGCAGUGCAGAAACCAGCCCUCCCAUCUCACAGAGGAGGACACUGAGGCAGAGAGAAUCCAAUCGCCCGGGGAAGGUGGCAUGGUUAAACAAGCAGAGGACAGUCCUCCCUGUUCCGUCGUGUCCUGCGGCCUGCGUUUGCUGUUUGCUGUUGACUCCACACCUAGUGAGCAAGUCUCACUAGUCAGCAGGCAGAAACUUGUUGAAUAAGUGAAUAUAUUAGCAAGCCACUUUGAAUUGUACCAUAGAACCGUUAUACCUCUCAAAACCACCCAUCAAGUCACGUGAUCAGCCCGGAGUGAAAAUUGGCAGAGGAGGUAUCCAGUCUCUGGUGACUCAGCAGAUGGAUUCUGGAGCCUGACUUUUGAGGCUUUGUCACCUUCUUGCUGUGUGACCGUCGGUGUCCUGACCACUCACUGCCUUUGUUUCUGUAUCUGUAAAAUGGGGUUAAUAAUAGUAUUUCCUUAUAGGGGUGUCUGAGGACUCGUUGAGCAAAUAUUUAUAAGACAUUCAUUCAGAAAGUGCUUGACACAGUAAGGGCUAUGCCAGCUUUAGCCUUUCGACUUUUUUCUACACGGCAAGACAGUAUGUAGGUACAAUUGAACAAUGUCAGACAGGUGCAAAUCACCAGGCACCUCAGUCUACAGAAAGGAGCUCCUGUCGGUCUUAAUUUACCUCCCCUUUCGAUUCCCUUUUAGCUACAAGGGUGACCAAGCAAGGAUCCAUUUAAAUGAAGAUGGCCCGUGCCGCCCAUGAGCUCCCUCGAGAAGCACAAAUGGCUUGCAAAGGCCUUGGUGCUGGGGAGGUUAUCACAGACCAGCGCGUUCCAGAAACUUCAAGAAAGGCUGUGGUCCAGGUGUCAUGAUGCCUGGAGGGGCCGUGUUCUCUGUGCGUCCCUCUUUUCCCCCUCUUACAAGGACACCAGUCGGAUUGGGCCAGGGCCCGCCUGCUGGGGCGCGACCUCAUUGUCACUAAUUAUAUCUGCAACCACCCUCUUUCCAACCAACGGCACAUGCGGAGGUCCUGGGGUUCGGACGUGAACAAGGCUCUAUUCGGAGAAGGGACACUAUUGGACCCCUAACCUACGCCCGAAGCAACCGCCAUCCCUCCUCUAUUUCUGCUUCUCGUGACCGCGGACUGUCCUCGCCAGGACAAGAGCACCGGGGAACGCAAGAAGAGCCGCUUCCCCAGGGUUUUGGCUUCGUCUCUCUUUUCAGGCCCAAAGUGGGAGUUGGCAACCGUAGGACCAGGAACUGGGUGCGGUGGUUUCUUCUAGAAGAAUUGGCGGUAUUUUCUAGGAACAGAUCUAGCCUCUGGCCCCGCUGAGCUGGGAGAUGAUCUGGGAGAGCUCCUUCCCGCCCGGGGGGCGCCUCCAGGCCGCCCGCUGCGCUAGUGAUGGGGGAUCUCGCUCGGCCGGCCGCUCGGAAAGGUAGUGACAGUAUGGGUGCCAUCAGAUGGCAGCACGGGCUGCCACGUCACCUUGAGUAGGGUUCCGUUCUCUUUUACCUUUUCCUUGUCUCCACUGCUGGUCUGGCGGUUAUCACUGCUUGUGAAGCAGCCUCUCUCCUGUCGCCCCUUCGUUUCCGUUCUCCUGUCUCCCUCGGCACGGACAGGGCCCGGGGGGGGGGGGGGUGUGUGCGAAUCAGUGAGCUCACUGUGUGCAAACGGCCCAGAUGUCCUCAGGUAAGUACAAUGAAUCACCGAGAUCGUCUUGGUGCAUCUCUUAAUUCUUGGCCGUGAUUGGACGGCUGAGUUUAUCGGUGACUUUGCGGCAGAACAGAAAUCGUGAUACUUCGCAGAACAGGAGGCGCCAGCGGAAGAGAGGACAGAAUGAUCUGUAGGAGGACUUCGAGCACCUCCCACUCACAUCCCACGUCAGACUGGGAUUCGUGACCCCAAUCACAUUAGCUCCCGAGCGCCCACUGUUUGCUCCCUGUGGCCCAGCAAAAGGGGCACACGCGCCCCGAGCCCAGAGCGCACACCCUCACGGGGACAGUCGGCAGGAAAUAAACUGCCACGUGCACUUUGGGUUAUGCUGGUGCGAGACAAACUGCAGACUCCCAGACGGAAGGGAACUGGGGGAACAUACUUGGGUUUGCUGUGGAAAGUGGAAUUUUCCCUCGGACUGUACAGAAUUCACCGCCUUCGUUAAUGCACGUGAAUCCCGCAGGCUGUUCUGUUAGAGGACCUGGAACCCCGCCGGCCCUGACCCGCCCGCAUCCGCCCCAGGAAAGGCCGGGCUCACUGCCCCUGGUGCCGCAGUGCCAGGGCAAAAGGGAGGAACGGAGGCCACCGGGGCCGCGGGGACAGCUGGGGGCAGACGGGUGCGGGCGGAGCUCAGGGCCAACUUCAGGAUGCAUUAUUGUGACGCACCCCAGAACUCAGAGGCAGCUCACGAGGCUGGAGAUCCCGGACCUCACUGAGGACACCGAUCGCACGACCUGUGCAAAGCUGCACUGUCUCACUCACUGUUACGUGUGUGUGCUCAGUACUGAACUAGCACAGUGUUCCCAAUCAAAUUAGUGCCACGGCAAACGGAAACACGAACUCAAAAUCGUAUCCGCACCCCCACGUUCACUGCAGCAUCAUUUACGAUAACCGAGGUGUGGGAACAGCCUCGGUGUCCACUGAUGGGUGAGUGGCUAAAGAAGUGGGGUGGGUGUGCGUGUGCGCAUGUGCGUACAAUGGGAUGUCACUCAGCCAUAAAAAAGAAAAAAAUCUUGCCAUCUGCAACAACAUGGACGGACCCCCAGGGUGUUACGCUAAGGGAAGGAAGUCAGGCAGAAGAGACCACGUGAUCUCACUUCCAUGUGGAGUCUGAAAGAGACAAAGCAAGACAAAACCAAGAGACACAGACACGGGGCGCAGGUCGGUGAUUGCCAGGUGGGGGUGAGGGGUGGGACAGACGGGGACGGGGCGAAGGAGGGCGAGAGGUGCAGACUUCCAGCUAUAGAAUAAAUAGGUCAGGAGGAUAGGAUAUACAGUCGUGACGACUCCAGUUAGGAACGCCGGGCUGACAGAAGUUGCUAGGGGCCGAAGUCUUGAAAGUCCUCCUCAGGAGACAAAAACGAACAGUGUGGAGACGGACGGUGACUAGCCUUUGUGGUCCUCAGGGCACAGAUAUCGAUUCCUUACAUUAUACAUCAAUUCUACCGCGAUAACAGCAAUAAAAUUAAUGUCAUCGAGAAAUUAUGCAGAAACCAGAUUUUGCUGCACACGGUGCCCUGAAAAGUCACCGAGGGAGUAGGAAAUGAUUUUAC